Molecule: long non-coding RNA, 522 nt
Filed under: Elaeis guineensis (African oil palm)
Lineage: Eukaryota; Viridiplantae; Streptophyta; Magnoliopsida; Arecales; Arecaceae
Description: long non-coding RNA (EGUI_LNC038896)
Source: RNAcentral
AGGCAUGUAUGUAUGUUUCAAAAUUUUUUUUCUAAACAUCAUAAUGGAAUAGAUGAUUAAAACUCCUUUUAAUCUAAAUCAUGCAUGCAUGAAACAUAAACUACAAGGAUCUACUUCAUAUACUAAAAUUAAAUAUAUACUGAAAUUUAACAUGUGAUCGAAUAACAUGUCUGUUUCGUAAUUUUUUUCUUCAAACCUGGAUUUGGAAAAGAAGAGGCUCUCUCUUAGUCACACAAGUAUCUGACCUCUAUGGGUAUCUACUUAGGAUCAGUCUGGAAUAGCCCUCUUAAGAUUGAAUUUUUUUAAAAGAAAAUUCAGCCUACAAAUCUGAACGAAGCCUGGAUUGCGAUCAACUCUUUGAUCCUUUCUUUGAUCUUCUUCUUCUCUUCUUCUCUUACCUUUCCCUCCUUGAUUUAUACUGCUACCAGGAAGAAGAACCAGUACAAAAGGGAUGCCCAACAACCUUAGGUGUGGAAGAAAGAGAGGACAUCCAAAAGGGUAGGCCGUUUGGACACCCAAGGG